AACGAACGCUGGCGGCAUGCCUAACACAUGCAAGUCGAACGAGACCUUCGGGUCUAGUGGCGCACGGGUGCGUAACGCGUGGGAACCUGCCCUUAGGUUCGGAAUAACUCCCCGAAAGGGGUGCUAAUACCGGAUAAUGUCUUCGGACCAAAGAUUUAUCGCCUUUGGAUGGGCCCGCGUUGGAUUAGCUAGUUGGUAGGGUAAAAGCCUACCAAGGCGACGAUCCAUAGCUGGUCUGAGAGGAUGAUCAGCCACACUGGGACUGAGACACGGCCCAGACUCCUACGGGAGGCAGCAGUGGGGAAUAUUGGACAAUGGGGGAAAGCCUGAUCCAGCAAUGCCGCGUGAGUGAUGAAGGCCUUAGGGUUGUAAAGCUCUUUUAACCGGGAUGAUAAUGACAGUACCGGGAGAAUAAGCUCCGGCUAACUCCGUG
RNAcentral lists this ribosomal RNA (433 nucleotides) under uncultured bacterium. RNAcentral's name for it is "partial 16S ribosomal RNA". It matches the Rfam family "Bacterial small subunit ribosomal RNA", at positions 29 to 507 of the family's 1533-position model. The record is from RNAcentral.